CUCCCCCAGAUCCACACACUGUCUGCCCCAACAACCCCAGAGCCUUCAUCCUGUGUCUAAUUAAAUUCCUAGAGGACUUUUAGAGUGAAGACCCUGCCUAUUCGCUCAGAGAGACUUUUUUUCCCUUUAAUUUGGCCAAUACAUUUAGAAAAUGGGCUUUUUACAAGUGGCUGUCCGAUUAUAUUUUUGUAAGUAUUUUUUAGACCCCAUCACGUAAAGGAUACACACCUACUGUGUAAAGCUAUGGCAGCAGCCUAGGAAGGUCAAAUCAAACUUUGACCUGCCUCUUGGAGGGCUAGGGGGAAGGGUGUAUUUUCAUUAUAAUAACCCAUGCAACCAGCCCUGUAUUGCCAAGCGCAGGAAAAGGGUCUGCUUCAGGGGCAAGCCGUGCCUUAAGUUAGCUAACAAUACAAACCCGAUACAAUGCAGAGGAAACAGAAUACCCCAGCCAAGCAAUUUCCAUGUCAAACAUCAUCUGCGCGGCAGCUCGGUCUGUGAACGUGAGUGGUCGCCUGAAUCCCUGCUCCGCGGCCGCCACCUCCUCAUACCUCCACACCGCGCACCCCGGCCGGCGUCCCGCUCACCACCGGUGGCCGAGGCUCUUCCCCCUCGCCCAGGCUUGAGCUGGAAGUGAUUCCUAUUGGCCAAGGUGUCCAUGUAAAUAGGUGUGAAAGAAACCAGAGCUGGCCAGGCUCUCCCCUCUCGCUCAGUCCCCUCCCUCUGCAGCCCCCGCUCCCCCUCCUCUUCCUCCUCCUCCCAAGGCGAUUGUCAUAUGAUAGCUAAGAAGUGGCACAUUAAUGAAGCGCCGCUACAGGGGUCUUUUCUGCUCCUGUCACCGCUUAAAACUAUCAGAUGGUUCGAGGGAGGACAUGGAGGCAGCCACCUAGCUCAGCGGAGCCGCGGAGCCCACAGCAGCGCCCUCCGGAGCCCCGAGGCCGCCGCUGCUGCCGUCUGCGCCCGGACUCCGCAGCCGAGCGCGGCCGCCCGGGGAUCUCACGGCCAGGAGCGCGGCGGACUGGUCGGCUCCCGGCGCUGCGGGGCUGAGCUGGGAGGCUCAAGACGAGCGGAGCCCCGGCGAGACCGGACGCGGCAACGCGCACUGGGAGGGACCCGAGGGUGCCGUGCCAUCCCGGAUGCGGACGCACAACUUGGAGCAACUUUAAGAUCCUAGCCGCCGCCGGCCCGCGCGGACCCAGAGCG
RNAcentral lists this long non-coding RNA (1200 nucleotides) under Canis lupus familiaris (dog). Its description in RNAcentral is "lncRNA (ENSCAFG00000051534.1, ENSCAFG00845016908.1)". The record is from RNAcentral. Lineage: Eukaryota; Metazoa; Chordata; Mammalia; Carnivora; Canidae.